CCUACGGGAGGCAGCAGUCGAGAAUCAUUCACAAUGGGGGAAACCCUGAUGGUGCGACGCCGCGUGGGGGAAUGAAGGUCUUCGGAUUGUAAACCCCUGUCAUGUGGGAGCAAAUUAAAAAGAUAGUACCACAAGAGGAAGAGACGGCUAACUCUGUGCACGCAGCCGCGGUAAUACAGAGGUCUCAGGGGUUGUUCGGAAUCACUGGGCGUAAAGCGGGCGUAGGCUGGUUCGUAAAGCGUGUGGGAAAUGGGCGGGCUCAAACCGCAGACGGCACAGGAUACUGCGAAACUAGAGUAAUGAAGGGGGAAGUGGAAUUCUCGGUGUAGCAGUGAAAUGCGUAGAUAUAGAGAGGAACACUCGUGGCGAAGGCGGGUUUCUGGACAUUAACUGACGCUGAGGCACGAAGGCCAGGGGAGCGAAAGGGAUUAGAUACCCUUGUAGUC
RNAcentral lists this ribosomal RNA (446 nucleotides) under uncultured bacterium. Its description in RNAcentral is "partial 16S ribosomal RNA". It matches the Rfam family "Bacterial small subunit ribosomal RNA", at positions 338 to 795 of the family's 1533-position model. The record is from RNAcentral.